UCGGGAAUUUUGGGCAAUGGGCGAAAGCCUGACCCAGCAACGCCGCGUGAAGGAUGAAGUAUUUCGGUAUGUAAACUUCGAAAGAAUAGGAAGAAUAAAUGACGGUACUAUUUAUAAGGUCCGGCUAACUACGUGCCAGCAGCCGCGGUAAUACGUAGGGACCAAGCGUUAUCCGGAAUCACUGGGCGUAAAGGGUGUCGAGGCGGUUGUAUUAGUCGUUCGUAAAAUCUACGAGCUUAACUUGUAGGCGGCGAACGAAACGGUACGACUUGAGGUUUGGAGAGGUGCGUGGAACUCACGGUGUAGGGGUGAAAUCCGUUGAUAUCGUGGGGAACACCAAAGGCGAAGGCAGCGCACUGGCCAAAAUCUGACGCUCACACACGAAAGCUAGGGUAGCGAAGAGGAUUAGAUACCCGCGUAGUCCCUGAGCGGGCUGGCAAGGCGCAU
Molecule: ribosomal RNA, 447 nt
Filed under: uncultured bacterium
Lineage: Bacteria
Description: bacterial SSU rRNA
Rfam family: Bacterial small subunit ribosomal RNA
Source: RNAcentral